This 425-nucleotide ribosomal RNA is filed under the name uncultured Mucilaginibacter sp. Its description in RNAcentral is "bacterial SSU rRNA". It matches the Rfam family "Bacterial small subunit ribosomal RNA", at positions 354 to 776 of the family's 1533-position model. The record is from RNAcentral. Lineage: Bacteria; Pseudomonadati; Bacteroidota; Sphingobacteriia; Sphingobacteriales; Sphingobacteriaceae.
GUAAGGAAUAUUGGUCAAUGGGCGGAAGCCUGAACCAGCCAUGCCGCGUGCAGGAAGACGGCCCUACGGGUUGUAAACUGCUUUUAUACGGGAAUAAACCUCGUUAUGUAUAACGAGCUGAAUGUACUGUAAGAAUAAGGAUCGGCUAACUCCGUGCCAGCAGCCGCGGUAAUACGGAGGAUCCGAGCGUUAUCCGGAUUUAUUGGGUUUAAAGGGUGCGUAGGUGGCCUGUUAAGUCAGGGGUGAAAGACGGUAGCUCAACUAUCGCAGUGCCCUUGAUACUGACGGGCUUGAAUGAACUAGAGGUAGGCGGAAUGUGACAAGUAGCGGUGAAAUGCAUAGAUAUGUCACAGAACACCAAUUGCGAAGGCAGCUUACUAUGGUUUGAUUGACACUGAGGCACGAAAGCGUGGGGAUCAAACAGG